RNAcentral lists this ribosomal RNA (198 nucleotides) under uncultured bacterium. RNAcentral describes it as "partial 16S ribosomal RNA". It matches the Rfam family "Bacterial small subunit ribosomal RNA", at positions 1303 to 1500 of the family's 1533-position model. The record is from RNAcentral.
GUCUGCAACCCGACUACACGAAGCUGGAAUCGCUAGUAAUCGCGAAUCAGAAUGUCGCGGUGAAUACGUUCCCGGGUCUUGUACACACCGCCCGUCACACCAUGGGAGUCGGGAAUGCCCGAAGUCAGUGACCCAACCAAAUGGAGGGAGCUGCCGAAGGCAGGUCUGAUAACUGGGGUGAAGUCGUAACAAGGUAAC